GACGAACGCUGGCGGCGUGCCUAAUACAUGCAAGUAGAACGCUGAAGAGAGGAGCUUGCUCUUCUUGGAUGAGUUGCGAACGGGUGAGUAACGCGUAGGUAACCUGCCUUGUAGCGGGGGAUAACUAUUGGAAACGAUAGCUAAUACCGCAUAACAAUGGAUGACACAUGUCAUUUAUUUGAAAGGGGCAAUUGCUCCACUACAAGAUGGACCUGCGUUGUAUUAGCUAGUAGGUGAGGUAAUGGCUCACCUAGGCGACGAUACAUAGCCGACCUGAGAGGGUGAUCGGCCACACUGGGACUGAGACACGGCCCAGACUCCUACGGGAGGCAGCAGUAGGGAAUCUUCGGCAAUGGGGGCAACCCUGACCGAGCAACGCCGCGUGAGUGAAGAAGGUUUUCGGAUCGUAAAGCUCUGUUGUAAGUCAAGAACGGGUGUGAGAGUGGAAAGUUCACACUGUGACGGUAGCUUACCAGAAAGGGACGGCUAACUACGUGCCAGCAGCCGCGGUAAUACGUAGGUCCCGAGCGUUGUCCGGAUUUAUUGGGCGUAAAGCGAGCGCAGGCGGUUUGAUAAGUCUGAAGUUAAAGGCUGUGGCUCAACCAUAGUUCGCUUUGGAAACUGUCAAACUUGAGUGCAGAAGGGGAGAGUGGGAUUCCAUGUGUAGCGGUGAAAUGCGUAGAUAUAUGGAGGAACACCGGUGGCGAAAGCGGCUCUCUGGUCUGUAACUGACGCUGAGGCUCGAAAGCGUGGGGAGCGAACAGGAUUAGAUACCCUGGUAGUCCACGCCGUAAACGAUGAGUGCUAGGUGUUGGAUCCUUUCCGGGAUUCAGUGCCGCAGCUAACGCAUUAAGCACUCCGCCUGGGGAGUACGACCGCAAGGUGGAAACUCAAAGGAAUUGACGGGGGCCCGCACAAGCGGUGGAGCAUGUGGUUUAAUUCGAAGCAACGCGAAGAACCUUACCAGGUCUUGACAUCCCGAUGCUAUUUCUAGAGAUAGAAAGUUACUUCGGUACAUCGGUGACAGGUGGUGCAUGGUUGUCGUCAGCUCGUGUCGUGAGAUGUUGGGUUAAGUCCCGCAACGAGCGCAACCCCUAUUGUUAGUUGCCAUCAUUCAGUUGGGCACUCUAGCGAGACUGCCGGUAAUAAACCGGAGGAAGGUGGGGAUGACGUCAAAUCAUCAUGCCCCUUAUGACCUGGGCUACACACGUGCUACAAUGGUUGGUACAACGAGUUGCGAGUCGGUGACGGCGAGCUAAUCUCUUAAAGCCAAUCUCAGUUCGGAUUGUAGGCUGCAACUCGCCUACAUGAAGUCGGAAUCGCUAGUAAUCGCGGAUCAGCACGCCGCGGUGAAUACGUUCCCGGGCCU
Molecule: ribosomal RNA, 1369 nt
Filed under: uncultured bacterium
Lineage: Bacteria
Description: bacterial SSU rRNA
Rfam family: Bacterial small subunit ribosomal RNA
Source: RNAcentral